AAAUUUUACUUGCCGAAUCCACAGUAACGUGGAACGGGGGACAAUUUAUUUUUGGGGUGGAUCCGUGCAAGCGGAAAGAGACCUUCUCCUCUUAACCCGUCAACUAACCUCGUAGGCAUGAAGGGAGUAAAA
Molecule: small RNA, 132 nt
Filed under: Aneurinibacillus sp. XH2
Lineage: Bacteria; Bacillati; Bacillota; Bacilli; Caryophanales; Paenibacillaceae
Also listed under: 1 other name
Description: c-di-AMP riboswitch aptamer (ydaO/yuaA leader)
Rfam family: c-di-AMP riboswitch aptamer (ydaO/yuaA leader)
About the family: This family represents a conserved RNA structure found upstream of the ydaO and yuaA genes in Bacillus subtilis and related genes in other bacteria. The ydaO/yuaA element is thought to act as a genetic "off" switch for the ydaO and yuaA genes in its native state. It is believed that the element may be triggered during osmotic shock leading to activation of ydaO, a predicted amino acid transporter gene, and members of the yuaA-yubG operon which code for KtrA and KtrB K+ transporters.
Source: Rfam by way of RNAcentral